CCUCCUACUGGACUUGAAGGUGUUUACUUGCCUGGGGAAGCUGAGGAUUGAUGGGAACUUCACAUACACAUCAGAUGCCCUUAAUUAAGAGUUUAGAUGCUCAAAACCCAGAUGUGGGAAAAGUUCUCCCUCUUCAGCUCGGUUUUUCAGCCAGCUGUAUCAUCACAUAAACUGGAUCCAAACAAUGCUGAGAGUUUUGUUAUACACCAGGCAGCUGAUGCACUCUUAAGUGCUCCCAGCAUUUGGCUCUCACCAGUGCUCAGAAGCUGGGGUUAGGCAGAGGUGAAAACCUAUAGGCUGACAGUCUGCACAGGGAAGUGGAGGAGCAUUUCCAGUAGAGUAAGAACAGGCACUGCAGCUGCCUAUUGCUGCUAUCCAGAUAUUGUGGUGUUGGACCAGCCCCUGUGUGGGUGUGGUUUGACUGUACUGCUUUGUUUUUUGUGUUCUAGAUUAUCUCACUCAACAGACUAUACAGAUGCUGGUGUGUUGACAGUCCUCUGCUCACUGAGAUCUUUCUCAGUAAUUUUGUUUGAGCAUAAUCUGAAAUUUAGCUUUCUAAGACCUUCCUGUCUGGCUCAUGCCAUGUCACUUACCCAGAUCCUUUAGAAUAGGACCCAAGAGACAACACAUUUUUUGUUAAAUUCAGGUUGCCACAUGAAAUACCAUGGUUAAUGAAAAUGCACAAAUUGCUGGAGUUCUAACGGGCAUGUUUCCAGGUCUUGGAGAAACAUGAUGAUCCUGACUGGGAGCCUUGCCAGCUGAAUAAGGUGAGCGGCCAUUCCCCUGCACGUGGCCCGACUGCCUUAAGAAGUUCUCCNNNNNNNNNNNNNNNNNNNNUCGGACGAGCUGACGCGGCACUACCGAACCCACACCGGCGAGAAGCAGUUCCGCUGCCCGCUCUGCGAGAAGCGCUUCAUGCGCAGCGACCACCNNNNNNNNNNNNNNNNNNNNNNNNNNNNNNNNNNNNNNNNNNNNNNNNNNNNNNNNNNNNNNNNNNNNNNNNNNNNNNNNNNNNNNNNNNNNNNNNNNNNNNNNNNAAUAAAAGUACUCAGUAUCCCCCUCCCCAUCUUCCACCUCCAGGCUCUGCCCUGAGAACAGUCUGGAACAAGUGGACUGUGGGGUGAGAGGAGGGAAGGGGCAGCCAGGGAGGAGGUGACACCUCUUCCGAUGUCAUGCGUUGAUACUGGUGUACAUACAUAGGACUGGGCGGUCUGGCCUGUGCCACCACAGUAGCAUGACCCCAAAGUCUUUGUGAUUGCUGUGUCAUGAACAUGUUUUGUUGAACAGUGUAAUGCUGCUUGUAUUUAGAGUCUGUCGAGUAAAAACACUUUCCGAGUCACAUAAAUAACUCAGAUAAAAACUCCAUAGCACAUUGUAGAAGUGGGUUUACUUCUGUGUAUCUUCUGCACUUAAAGAGGCUAUUAAGAGAAACAUUACAUAUGUUACCAAUAGUAUCUGAUUGAUAUACUGAGAUAAGGUGAAUUUAUACUCAAUAAGGCCCAUUAAAGUAAAUAGGUAUUUUUAACUUUUCUUUGUAUUAACUGUACUUUUGAAUAUCAGCUGGACUUUUCCAGUAAAAACAUGUACGAUUCAAGAAAAUACUUAAAGCAAAAAAAAUCCCCAUAAAGAGCUCAGUAAUUUUCUGACUAUUUGUGUAUUUAGCUCUGUUAUUCACUUACCUGGAAAAAUCCAGCUCAGCCUAGAUAAUGUGGCGGGCAUGUGGGAGCUGAAGCAUAUGUGUCUCAUAUGAUCCCAUACUUUACUUGUCAGUGAUAUAGUACUGUACUACAGAAAUGCCACUAACAGUGCUUUAUUCUGCUGUGGUUUGUUCGAAUGGGUGCACAAAGCAGCUACCAUCUUUACAAACAGCUGCUUUUUAAAAGGCUUUUUCUCUUCCUACACUUGCCUUAAAGAUUUAUUCUCUUCAUACCAUGGCCUAACUCCCUUGGAGUCCUAUGGGAAUUGUGUGUGCUUAUGGAGAGAGUAGACCUUUUCUUAAGAGCACUCUGAUAAUGGAAACACCUAAAAUUACUGUAAGGAGCACUUUGGAAGGGCUCCUGUAUCACUUGAUUGCUCUUUCUCUGGAGUAUGGGGGAAUACCACAAGCUAAUUUGAAACACAGAAGGUGUUUUGCAAUACUCCUUUAUGACAUAAGCUUCUCUUAGUACUUUUUACCUGUGUCAUGCAUGGCACGUCAAAUGGUGAUAAAAGCAAUGUUAACUUUUAUUUAAAAGCUAUUUUUUGGAUCUUUAAAAGGAGCAGAAAGACCACUGAAUGAAAACUUUUAGAUGUAAUCAUUAGUGAAUAUUUCAAAUUUUUGUAUGUUAAAAGCAUGAAAUUUAAGAGGUUAUCAGUGAUAUUUUUUUUCCCCUCCCCAGCUGCAUAAUGGGGGAGAAUUCUGUUUACACAUUAUUUUUUUCCAGCAAUGUUCUUCUGUUUGGUUUUUACCCCUUCCUCCAGAAGAGGAAGGGGAGGUGCAGCCCUACUAGAGACUUAGGGCCAAAUUAAUUUUGUGAGUAUUUACACUGAAACCCAAAGUGUCUCCACUGCAGAUGAAUUUAGGUCAUCUUGUAAAAUUGUGUACAUAAAAGAUCUUGUUAGCACACCUGCAAUUACAGUAUCUUAUUGUUUUAUCUGAUAAAAAGCUUGCUUCCUAGAAACAAACAUAAAAAAACUAACUCGGAGAGUAGAGUGUUUUCCUCUACAGUUGUAUAUGGCUUUCAGCAUUAGAAAUCUGUUUGCAUACUGUGUUUUUACCUGUGUAGUUCAUGAUAGAUUUCGUCUUUGUGAAGAGAACUUCUUUUAAAGCAUUGGGGAUAUUGAACAGUCUAUGGAAUAAAAAGGGAUGUGUUUUCUUCA
Long non-coding RNA from Serinus canaria (Common canary), 2859 nucleotides. NCBI's taxonomy places the organism in Eukaryota, Metazoa, Chordata, Aves, Passeriformes, Fringillidae. The record is from Ensembl.